AUGGGUACCUGGCAGGGGAGACACCAUGGUCACAAAGGUGGUUUUUGCAGGGUGAGGCUCAUGCCUUGCACUCUGAGCAGGCUAACUGCUGUGAGUUUCCCCAAAUGCAGGAAACAAAACUGCACAAUUUUGUGGCAAUGAAGGACUGCUUUCUCGCUUUCCCCCU
This is a small nuclear RNA of Crocodylus porosus (Australian saltwater crocodile), 166 nucleotides long. Its record names the gene U1. It matches the Rfam family "U1 spliceosomal RNA". Rfam says of the family: U1 is a small nuclear RNA (snRNA) component of the spliceosome (involved in pre-mRNA splicing). Its 5' end forms complementary base pairs with the 5' splice junction, thus defining the 5' donor site of an intron. NCBI's taxonomy places the organism in Eukaryota, Metazoa, Chordata, Crocodylia, Crocodylidae. The record is from Ensembl.